RNAcentral lists this ribosomal RNA (454 nucleotides) under uncultured bacterium. RNAcentral's name for it is "bacterial SSU rRNA". It matches the Rfam family "Bacterial small subunit ribosomal RNA", at positions 29 to 524 of the family's 1533-position model. The record is from RNAcentral.
AACGAACGCUGGCGGCAGGCUUAACACAUGCAAGUCGAACGCUCGUAGCAAUACGGGAGUGGCGGACGGGUGAGUAACGCGUGGGAACGUGCCCUGAGGUACGGAAUAACUGAGGGAAACUUCAGCUAAUACCGUAUGAGCCCCGAGAGGGGGAAAGAUUUAUCGCCUUGGGAGCGGCCCGCGUCGGAUUAGCUAGUUGGUGGGGUAACGGCCUACCAAGGCUUCGAUCCGUAGCUGGUCUGAGAGGACGAUCAGCCACACUGGGACUGAGACACGGCCCAGACUCCUACGGGAGGCAGCAGUGGGGAAUCUUGCGCAAUGGGGGCAACCCUGACGCAGCCAUGCCGCGUGAACGAUGAAGGCCUUAGGGUUGUAAAGUUCUUUUACCCGUGACGAUGAUGACGGUAACGGGGAAUAAGCUCCGGCUAAACUUCGUGCCAGCAGCCGCGGUAAU